AGACGGAGGAUGCAAGUGUUAUUCGGAAUGAUUGGGCGUAAAGAGUCUGUAGGCCGUAUAGAAAGUCUUUUGUUAAAUGCCUCGGCUCAACCGAGAUCCAGCAAAGGAAACUUCUAUACUUGAGGGAAGUAGAGGUACAGGGAAUUCCCGGUGGAGCGGUGAAAUGCGUAGAUAUCGGGAAGAACACCAGUGGCGAAGGCGCUCUGCUGGGCCAUCACUGACGCUCAUGGACGAAAGCCAGGGGAGCGAAAGGGAUCAGAUACCCCUGUAGUCCUGGCCGUAAACGAUGAACACUAGGUGGUCGGGGGAAUCGACCCCUCCGGUGUCGUAGCCAACGCGUUAAGUGUUCCGCCUGGGGAGUACGCACGCAAGUGUGAAACUCAAAGGAAUUGACGGGGGCCCGCACAAGCGGUGGAGUAUGUGGUUUAAUUCGAUGCAACGCGAAAGAACCUUACCGAGGGUUUGACAUCCUGCGAAUCUUUAGGAAACUUGAGAGUGCCGUUCGGGAGCGCAGUGAC
This 518-nucleotide ribosomal RNA is filed under the name uncultured cyanobacterium. RNAcentral describes it as "bacterial SSU rRNA". It matches the Rfam family "Bacterial small subunit ribosomal RNA", at positions 523 to 1035 of the family's 1533-position model. The record is from RNAcentral. Lineage: Bacteria; Bacillati; Cyanobacteriota.